CUAGACCUACGGGGGGCAGCAGUGGGGAAUAUUGCGCAAUGGGCGAAAGCCUGACGCAGCGACGCCGCGUGAGGGAUGAAGGUCUUCGGAUCGUAAACCUCUGUCAGCAGGGAAGAACGGUCACUGUGCUAAUCAGCAGUGAAUUGACGGUACCUGCAAAGGAAGCACCGGCUAACUCCGUGCCAGCAGCCGCGGUAAUACGGAGGGUGCGAGCGUUAAUCGGAAUUACUGGGCGUAAAGCGCUCGUAGGCGGUGAUGCAAGUCAGAAGUGAAAGCCCGCAGCUCAACUGCGGGACUGCUUUUGG
This 305-nucleotide ribosomal RNA is filed under the name uncultured bacterium. RNAcentral's name for it is "bacterial SSU rRNA". It matches the Rfam family "Bacterial small subunit ribosomal RNA", at positions 331 to 630 of the family's 1533-position model. The record is from RNAcentral.